RNAcentral lists this ribosomal RNA (323 nucleotides) under uncultured bacterium. RNAcentral describes it as "bacterial SSU rRNA". It matches the Rfam family "Bacterial small subunit ribosomal RNA", at positions 172 to 507 of the family's 1533-position model. The record is from RNAcentral.
GAUGUGGCUAUUCCUUGGCAUCUUGGAAUAACUAAACGGAUUUAUUCGCAUAGGGAGCGGCUCAUCGACCCAUCAGGUAGUUGGUAGGGUAAUGGCCUACCAAGCCGACGACGGGUAGCGGGUCUGAGAGGAUGAUCCCGCCCGAGUGGGACUGAGACACGGCCCACACACCUACGGGUGGCAGCAGUUGAGAAUCUUGCACAAUGGGGGAAACCCUGAUGCAGCGACGCCGCGUGGACGAUGAAGGGUUUAGGCCUGUAAAGUCCUUUUACCAGGAAAGACUUAGGACGGUACCUGGUGAAUAAGCUCCGGCUAACUACGUA